Long non-coding RNA from Mauremys mutica (yellowpond turtle), 1147 nucleotides. RefSeq lists it as uncharacterized. The record is from RefSeq and is a predicted model, not a curated record. The transcript is spliced from 3 exons. NCBI's taxonomy places the organism in Eukaryota, Metazoa, Chordata, Testudines, Geoemydidae.
AGAGUUCAGUGCAGGUUCAAAUGGAGAGAUCGACUGUGGAAAUAAGCUUUUAUUCAGUACAAGUAGAUGUGAAAUACCACAUUAAGUAGAAAGAUCUGAGUACCACACUAUGGGGUUUUAACAGUCUGCCCACGAGAGAACCUUGACCAUUUUGCCAGGACCUUGCUGAUCACCGGAAUUGGGGGAAAAGCACUUAGCAGCUGACCUGAUCAGGACAGAAGGAAGGUGUCGGAAAUCGCACCCUUGCCCAGGCCUCUCCUGGAACAGAACCGGGGGCACCGGCGGUUCUGCCUUGUUGCGAAAAGGUCCACUUGGGGAGUGCCCCACGUUCGGAAGAUCAUGUGAUCCACCUCCAGGUGCAGUGACCACUUGUGCUGGGAGGAGAAGUCCAGGCUCAGGCGAUCCGCUCGAGAGUUCCAGAUCCACUAAGUGGUGGGCUUCCAAGUUGAUAUUGUGGGCGGUGCAGAAGUCCCACAGCUGGAAGGCUUCCUGGCAGAGGGCUGAAGAGCGGGCCCCACCUUGCCUGUUGAUGAAGAACAUUGAGGCCGUGUUGUCCGUGAGAACUCUGAUUACCCUGCCCAUAAGACAUGAGCGAAAGGCCAGGCAGGGCAGACGGACCACUUGGAGUUCUUUGAUGUUUAUGUGCAGGUCUAGUUCCUGCGCGGACCAUAGGCCUUGGGUCUGUAGGUCUCCCACAUUGGCUCCCCAUCCCAAGUCCGAAGCACUGGAUACACACACUAUACAGUUGGGGAGCAGGUCCUGAACGGGACCUCUUGGAGCAUGUUCUCCGGGGUGGACCACCAAAGGAGGGAGGCUAGUAUGGACUUGGGCAUGGUGAGGACUUUGUCCAACCUGUCUUUGGACUGGGAGAAUGUCGAGGUCAGCCAGAGCUGAAGGGGCCGCAUCCUGAAUCUGGCAUGGUGUACCACGUAUGUGCAUGUUGCCAUGUGACCCAGGAGUUGCAGGCACACCCUGACAGUUGUCAUGGGAAACCUCGUGAUCGCCCUGAUGAGAUCCCUCAAGGUUUCGAAUCUUUGACCAGCCAGUUGUCGAGGUAAGGGAAGAUCUGGACCUCCGGACGCCUGGGGUAGGCUGCCACCACAGACAGACAUUUUGUGAAGACUCUGCAUGCCGUCAAGAGGCUAAA